UAUGUUAAUGUUGUGCGUUUUUGUUUGAAUUUUCACAUUUCAAACAUGUUCUUUUAUGUUUUUGGUUGGUAUAUUUGAUAUUUUCUGUUUUUCACUCUUUAAUCGAUUGAGAGUUCAAUACAAUCUGAUUCUUUAUGUGAGGUUUAUUAUUGUGAUAAGGCCGGAGACAUCACAGACGCGGGACAAAGGAAAACACGCCUCAUUGUUUUAAAAUCCGUUUCCUAAAUUGGUCUAUCUAUACCAAAGUUAGUAUAGAGUAUAGACCGACGUUGACCUAUAUUACAUUGACGGUAUCUAUAGCGGAAUACGAUACGAAAAAGGCACGCGUGUACGGUUCGGUGCACACAUACGUGUCGGGUUGCCACAAUCCACUAAUUAAGAAUAUAUUUUAUAACAGUGGUUUAUAACCUAUGAGUAAUUAAUUUCCGGAUAGCAGAUGGGUGAUCAGCUGAACCAGACUAUUUAAAACUAUAAGUGUAACAAACAGUGUCACAGCUAUAACUGCUCUGUGAAUCAGCAUUUCCAAGCGUCGUUGCUUUGAAAUCAAAAUCCCGAAACAAGCUGUUAGAUCUAGGAUUUGCGUUGUGCAGUACCCAAAAUCGCACCCAAUAUUGCAUCGAUUGUACA
Molecule: non-coding RNA, 627 nt
Organism: Ciona intestinalis (vase tunicate)
Lineage: Eukaryota; Metazoa; Chordata; Ascidiacea; Phlebobranchia; Cionidae
Source: RefSeq, a predicted model, not a curated record